RNAcentral lists this long non-coding RNA (75 nucleotides) under Pogona vitticeps (central bearded dragon). RNAcentral describes it as "lncRNA (ENSPVIG00000017630.1)". The record is from RNAcentral. Lineage: Eukaryota; Metazoa; Chordata; Lepidosauria; Squamata; Agamidae.
ACAGAGCUGCAUCCUGAAGGAGACACUGACUGUUAUAACUGAUAACAGGGCAAUAACCUACAGUCAGCAAUUUAC